Long non-coding RNA from Medicago truncatula (barrel medic), 935 nucleotides. RefSeq lists it as uncharacterized. The record is from RefSeq and is a predicted model, not a curated record. The transcript is spliced from 2 exons. Lineage: Eukaryota; Viridiplantae; Streptophyta; Magnoliopsida; Fabales; Fabaceae.
UAUUUUAAUUUUUGUUUUUUUACGAUUAAAUUGUUAUGUAUUUUUUAAUUAUUCAAAUGUUUAUAUUUUUAACGGUUUGUUCUUUGUUUAAUUUUUUGUAUUUUAGUUUAGGGAGGAAGAUUAGGAAUGACCAACUGACAGACAUGGGACCUGAAGCUGCUUGGUUCUGGGAGCGGGUGGAUGGAUCCGGUCUUGCCCCCUCCUUAAAACUAGAUAUUCAACCAUCAGCCCUGGCCUCAUCAAUGCCUUAUCAGAGAGAUGGCAUGAGGAGACCAGCAACUUCCAUUUGUCCGUUGAGGGGAUGACUGUCACACUCGAUGAUGUGACAUGUCUUCUACACAUCCCCAUCCAUAUGAGGCACAUGCACUACAGUGACUGCAACUACAAGUUAGGUAUUGAGUUGCAGAAGAAUAAGUUGGGUUUGACAGAGAAGAAAACUGAGGAUGAGACAAGCACACAGUGGGGGUGGAAAUUUUAGUAUUCCUAACCUGAAGAAGUUUUAUGGUAGACUCCUACAUAGGUGCAAUCAGUUGGAGGAGACGACUGAUGAGGAGGAGGCGGAGGAGCUCCAGAGGACUAGGAUGCACUGCAUUAAGGCAUUUUGAUGUUUUUUUGAUAUGAAGCAAUGACCAAUUAUCUAGUAGAUCUGAACACAAUGCUAGCUGGAGUCUGCUUCAACGGUGGAAAGUCCAAUAAGUUGUUCAGGGUUCGGGUCGAAGACACAAGGAGAGUGGAAGACAUUUGGUAUGAACAUCCAUCGAUCGACUCAGUCGGGAGAACCUAUAUAGUUGAUUUGGUAGAAUACAUGUAAUGUGUACUCAUCUUAUAUGAAGGGAUUCUAUGUGAGAACCUAUAUAGUUGAUUUGGUAGAAACAUGUGAUGCAUUCUCUUCAUUAUUUUGAGUUUUCAAAGAGAUUACCAAAUUUUUACACUAA